GAUGAAGAACGCAGCGAAAUGCGAUAAGUAGUGUGAAUUGCAGAAUUCAGUGAAUCAUCGAAUCUUUGAACGCACAUUGCGCCCUUUGGUAUUCCUUAGGGCAUGCCUGUUCGAGCGUCAUUUAAACCUUCAAGCUAAGCUUGGUGUUGGGUGACUGUCCGCCUCACGGCGGACUCGCCUCAAAAUUAUUGGCGGCCGGUACAUUGGCUUCGAGCGCAGCAGAAACGCGAACUCGGGCCCGUCGUAUUGGCUCCCAGAAGCUAUCUUCACAAUUUUGACCUCGGAUCAGGUAGGGAUACCCGCUGAACUUAAGCAUAUCAAAAGCGGAGGA
RNAcentral lists this unclassified non-coding RNA (331 nucleotides) under soil metagenome. RNAcentral describes it as "partial contains 5.8S ribosomal RNA, internal transcribed spacer 2, and large subunit ribosomal RNA". The stretch from base 1 to 120 matches the Rfam family "5.8S ribosomal RNA", at positions 35 to 154 of the family's 154-position model. The record is from RNAcentral.